ACUCUGAGUGCAUAAGGAAGGCAAUCAAGGCCAUGGGAAAGACAACACGCAUUACGUAUCUUUAGCAACCUUAUGUUGCUGGUCUUGGAGAAAGCUUCAGAGCUCCAUCUUGCUUCAUAUGCUCGAGCAUAGUCUACUAUCGCUUGAAUUGCUUCAGUUCCCUAAAAUUCAGAAUUGUAAUUACUCAAUAGUGCAAUAUUGUUGAUUAAAAGA
Arachis ipaensis is the source of this 213-nucleotide non-coding RNA. Lineage: Eukaryota; Viridiplantae; Streptophyta; Magnoliopsida; Fabales; Fabaceae. The record is from RefSeq and is a predicted model, not a curated record.